RNAcentral lists this transfer RNA (64 nucleotides) under Cordylochernes scorpioides. RNAcentral's name for it is "tRNA-Gly". The record is from RNAcentral. Lineage: Eukaryota; Metazoa; Arthropoda; Arachnida; Pseudoscorpiones; Chernetidae.
UGCAUCUCCGGGAAUCGAACCCGUGCUGCCCGCGUGGCAGGCGAGCAUUCUACCACUGAGCCAC